This 253-nucleotide ribosomal RNA is filed under the name uncultured bacterium. RNAcentral describes it as "partial 16S ribosomal RNA". It matches the Rfam family "Bacterial small subunit ribosomal RNA", at positions 524 to 776 of the family's 1533-position model. The record is from RNAcentral.
GACAGAGGGUGCAAACGUUGUUCGGAAGUACUGGGCGUAAAGCGAGUGUAGGCGGUCUGAAAAGUCGGAUGUGAAAGCCCCGGGCUCAACCCGGGAAGUGCAUUCGAAACUGCCAGGCUAGAGUGUCGGAGAGGUUGGUGGAAUUCUCGGUGUAGAGGUGAAAUUCGUAGAUAUCGAGAGGAACACCGGUGGCGAAGGCGGCCAACUGGAUGAACACUGACGCUGAGACUCGAAAGCGUGGGUAGCAAACAGG